AUGCCAGCUCAGCAGAUUCCUGACCAAAGGUGAAAAGUACACUGUGAGGAAGACUCGGGGUCUUCCUCCCAAAGACCCCUGCCCACGUCCCAAAGACCCCUGCCCACAAUUCUUGGGAGGCUCUACGAAGGCCCAAGGUGCCGAAAAGCCAACUAGCAUGAGAAGCGAGGGAAGGCGGGGAUAGGUGGAGAGAUCCCCCGUGAAUCCAGCGCUGCAAUACAGAAAAUACCACUUAAAGGAAUUUCGGCUUCGAUCUUUGAAUCAACAUCACAUCUAAGUGUUAAAGACAAAGCCGGAGUCCUACACUUAGCCGGGUCCCAUCGUCAGGAUGUCUCCGGCGCGUAUGUCAAACAUCGCUAUCGUCUGGUCUGCGAGCUGUCAAUUCUUGUUACAUCCUCAAAGUGCAAGCUAAGUAAAUGUUUUAGUGCAUUUUUAUAAGCUUUUACCGUAGAGGCACUUUUAUUAAGUCAAUGAGGACGGUGGUAUGUCUAAACGCCUCCUGAAGUGACAGCCAGGAGGCUUUCUUUUUAGUACUGCUAGUUGGUGUGUUGAAAUGUGACUUUCCAGAAAUCAUAACUGCAUGCACAUGGAGAAAUGCUGAAUCGGUUAGUAUGUACAUACUUUUUUUUUUCUUUCUUUUAUUUUUUAAGCUUUGCUACAGUUCCAGAAAAGAGUAUGCAACACAUGUUGUGGUAUAAUAAAAUAGUUUGCUACGA
Molecule: long non-coding RNA, 716 nt
Organism: Anas platyrhynchos (mallard)
Lineage: Eukaryota; Metazoa; Chordata; Aves; Anseriformes; Anatidae
Source: RefSeq, a predicted model, not a curated record